RNAcentral lists this ribosomal RNA (463 nucleotides) under uncultured bacterium. RNAcentral describes it as "partial 16S ribosomal RNA". It matches the Rfam family "Bacterial small subunit ribosomal RNA", at positions 28 to 507 of the family's 1533-position model. The record is from RNAcentral.
GAUGAACGCUGACAGAAUGCUUAACACAUGCAAGUCGAUGGGGAAGUGGUGCUUGCACCAUGGCAACCAUGGCGGACGGGUGAGUAACGCGUAAGGGACUUACCUGCAGGACUGGGAUAACAGGGGGAAACUCCUGACAAGACCGGAUAAUGUCAUGGAGCUGCAUGGCUUUAUAAUGAAAGGAGACGCCUGCGGAGAGCCUUGCGUCCUAUUAGCUAGUUGGUGAGGUAAUGGCUCACCAAGGCGAAGAUAGGUAGCCGGCCUGAGAGGGUGGACGGCCACAAGGGGACUGAGAUACGGCCCUUACUCCUACGGGAGGCAGCAGUGGGGAAUAUUGGACAAUGGGGGCAACCCUGAUCCAGCAAUUCUGUGUGCACGAAGAAGGUUUUCGGAGUGUAAAGUGCUUUCAGCAGGGAAGAAGUAAGUGACGGUACCUGCAGAAGAAGCGACGGCUAAAUACGUG